This 99-nucleotide transfer RNA is filed under the name Streptomyces griseoviridis. Its description in RNAcentral is "tRNA-Asp". RNAcentral also lists the same sequence under 1 other name. Lineage: Bacteria; Bacillati; Actinomycetota; Actinomycetes; Kitasatosporales; Streptomycetaceae. The record is from RNAcentral.
GCGCACGAGACCGUCGAAUGGGCGGACGGAGCCACCUAUCCGGUGGUCGACGUCGAGAUCUCCUCGGCGAGCCACCCGUUCUACACCGGCCGCUCGCGC